CGGGAUGUGGCGCAGCUUGGUCAGCGCACCGGCCUUGGGUGCCGGGGGUCGUGGGUUCGAAUCCCGCCAUCCCGAC
Molecule: transfer RNA, 76 nt
Filed under: Actinoplanes octamycinicus
Lineage: Bacteria; Bacillati; Actinomycetota; Actinomycetes; Micromonosporales; Micromonosporaceae
Description: tRNA-Pro
Rfam family: tRNA
About the family: Transfer RNA (tRNA) molecules are approximately 80 nucleotides in length. Their secondary structure includes four short double-helical elements and three loops (D, anti-codon, and T loops).
Source: RNAcentral